GAUAGACCCUGGGGUUGGGGAUUACUUCAAUUCCGAACCUAUGAGUCAAUACCAAGGGGGCUGUCCCUUACCGUGGUGUGCAAGCCUAUUCAGUUAGGAAGCCUUAAGCGGUAAUUACGGUGCCCACGUUUAAACCUUGGUUCGAUAUUGACUACCCCCAGCCUUGAGGGUCGUUU
This 176-nucleotide non-coding RNA is filed under the name Deltaproteobacteria bacterium. RNAcentral describes it as "6S RNA". It matches the Rfam family "6S / SsrS RNA". Rfam says of the family: E. coli 6S RNA was the first non coding RNA to be sequenced, but its function was unknown until recently. It consists of 184 nucleotides that fold into an extended hairpin structure with a large single-stranded internal bulge. Lineage: Bacteria; Pseudomonadati; Myxococcota; Myxococcia. The record is from RNAcentral.